UCUGAUUCUGGUCUCGAGACGCACUUUGAAAACUAUCAAAAUGAGCGAUCCAGACGGAGAGCAUCAACCAUUUAAGUUUUUUUGGAGUAAAAUUUAAUCUGUGCUGUUGUUGGUUGUCAUUACAACUCAACGUAGUUAAUGAUAUCAAUGCAACUAACCUCAGACCAUCGCAUCAUGACAUCUACACACUCAGAUGAGGCACUGUCAUUAAAAAACGGCCAUCUCGACUCGGUGAAGUAUCGGCACUAUACAGCCACAUGUUUUUUGACCAUUUUUACAAAUGUAAUACCUUAAACAUUACAUAACCACUAAGCAUAUACGCCGAUGCAAGUGAUAACACUGGAGACUGGAAAUUGAAAAAAGUUGAAUUAGGGAAUACUUUCACGAUCAGGAAAAGGUGGAUUGACCUGUUUCAGUGACGUCACUAUUCCCCGCAGCCACCAUAUUUGUGAUCAUCAGUGGGAGGAAACAAUGGUGGUGAAUGGAAAAACACCCGGGAAACGAUAUCAACAAAAACAUCACAAAUUGCUUUUGAUCCAUGCCAAGGAUGGGUUCAUACAGCUCUGAAGACAGCACAAAUAUUGCCAAACGGAACUUUCGUGGACAUAUAAAGAUAUUUUAUCCAUGAUUCAUCAACAGACGCAGGCGAGUCUUAUCGAAAAAUGUUAAGUUAAUGUGAAAUGUUAAUGUGACCGGUGUUCUGAAAUAUUCAGUUUCUGACAUUUUCGGUUGCACUCGGCGGAGCAUACAUGGAGAUUAAUUAGUUUUCUGUUUCGUGUUAAAGUAGGAUGACCAUACGUCCUGUUUUUCCCGGAUAUGUCCUCUUUUUCGGACCUUAAAAAAGCGUCUGGCCAGGAUUUCUGAAUUUGCGAAAAUGUCUGGGAUUCGGCUUUAGUUGCAUUAUGAUGUGCAUCUGGUCUAUUACAUUGUGUGUGCGCGCAGACUGUAUUUGCAUUGCUUUAACCCCUCUAUGUAAGUCCCGCCUUCUCGCACACCAAUUGGUCGAUUUAUAUGAGGCUUGCAGCAACUAUUGGCCAAAUUCCUGCCUGUCAAUCUUUCCGCGAACGCGCGAAGCGCUGUUGUGUUCAGCAUCAAACAGUUGCUUGACAGUAGCAGCAAAUGACAGCUGAGUGGAAACAAUGCCCAAACGAAAGUGUAAAUUUAUUGAAGAUUUGCACAAAAAAUGACCAUGCUUUCGUCCAGGUCGAGAUCCGUGGGAAGCAGAAUGUAUGACAUGUAAAGCUGGCGCUUAUGUGUCAGUUGCUAAUAAAGGUGCAAGUGAUUUAGAAGCACACAUUAGCUCUAUGAAGCAUAAAGGGUCAGCAAAAGGUGAAAGUUCAUCAGGUAAAGUAAAGGACUACUUUUUGCGACCAGGUAAAAUUGUUAUCACAUUGCUUCAUUUUCCAUGGCCAUUCAAAAUAAUAGUAAUAGUAAAUGAAGGUACACUCAUGGCAUCAAAUAUUUUAUUUUAGUGCAUGGACAUAUAUUUAUGUUAUGCUAAUAGAGUGUCUUUUUCACUGUAUUAAAGUUUGCAUUCAUAGUAACACUGUUUUGAGCCCUAUUAUUCCACCACACCCCAAUUUUUCGGCUAAUAUUGCCCACAAUCCCUUGCUCGAUGGAAGAGGAUUUUGAUGGUUCGCUUCAGAACUACAACUGUGAAACAUGAAAAACUAUAAACAUGGCAGUGACAAUGGUGCUUCAUUAGUUCUUAAAUGUUUUCACAUCUUAAGCGUCAUGUAAGUUUAAUGGUUAAACGCUGUGAAAAAAAAAAACAAACUUCAUUGACACUGUAGGACGACAAUGCUCUUCGUUAAAUUGUGAACGAUCGGCUGCUCCAUUUACACAAUGAACAAAAAAGGGUUUGAAUGAUUAAUAAUCAUUAUAAUCUUACCUGCAAACUUUUAUGUUCUUCUACUCUACUUGUCUUGCGUAUGGAUACACAUUGUGCAUUUAAGAGCUUUCUUUCUUGAAAAUAAUCAAGUAAAAGUGUCAGCACUAUGUGGAUUCAAAACUGAAAAAUCUUAAACAGAAACAUUAAUCAAAUUAACACAAUUAUAUGUUCUCAUUUUAUUUUUGCCAGUAUUGUAUCACACUGAAAUAGAGAAGAUCACAUUCCCUUUCAGUCGACUGUUGAAUGACGUAACCAUGUGUGACGCUUCAAAAGACAAAAACAAACAUAGCUGCAAGCAGCGAUGAAGGGCCCAAGCACUAUGGGUCCAUUUCCACCAGGUGGCUUUCGGAAAACAAUGCAAGCGAUUCAGUGACGUCAGGGCUACAAUGUGAUUGGUUAUCAUGGCACACGUGAUCCAAGUUGACAGUUACGCUUUCUCCAACAGGAGCCACGGGUUCAGCUGUCUCACCCUCCAGCAGAUGAGCAAGUUGAUUACAGGCCCUUCAAUGAGAUGCCACAAGAUGGAAGAAAUGGCCCAUCAGAGGGACAUUUCCUUGGUUCGCUCACAUAUGGUCAGAGAAUGGAAUCUCCUGAAUCAAGGCAGAUAAUAAAAG
Molecule: long non-coding RNA, 2505 nt
Organism: Myxocyprinus asiaticus (Chinese sucker)
Lineage: Eukaryota; Metazoa; Chordata; Actinopteri; Cypriniformes; Catostomidae
Exons: 5
Source: RefSeq, a predicted model, not a curated record